RNAcentral lists this ribosomal RNA (492 nucleotides) under uncultured bacterium. RNAcentral describes it as "partial 16S ribosomal RNA". It matches the Rfam family "Bacterial small subunit ribosomal RNA", at positions 29 to 507 of the family's 1533-position model. The record is from RNAcentral.
AGUGAACCCUGGCGGUAGGCCUAACACAUGCAAGUCGAACGGCAGCACAGUAAGAGCUUGCUCUUACGGGUGGCGAGUGGCGGACGGGUGAGGAAUACAUCGGAAUCUACUUUUUCGUGGGGGAUAACGUAGGGAAACUUACGCUAAUACCGCAUACGACCUACGGGUGAAAGCAGGGGAUCUUCGGACCUUGCGCGAUUGAAUGAGCCGAUGUCGGAUUAGCUAGUUGGCGGGGUAAAGGCCCACCAAGGCGACGAUCCGUAGCUGGUCUGAGAGGAUGAUCAGCCACACUGGGACUGAGACACGGUCCAGACUCCUACGGGAGGCAGCAGUGGGGAAUAUUGGACAAUGGGCGCAAGCCUGAUCCAGCCAUACCGCGUGGGUGAAGAAGGCCUUCGGGUUGUAAAGCCCUUUUGUUGGGAAAGAAAAGCAGCAGGUUAAUACCCCGCUGUUCUGACGGUACCCAAAGAAUAAGCACCGGCUAACUUCGUG